AUCCUCUCGAGGAUCCUAAGUCUGAUGAUGACUGGGUUUUCACAUUGCCGCGGGAGAGGUGCCUCCCACAGUCCUCGUUAGCACAUCAGUGCGUUCCCCGUCUCACA
This is a small nucleolar RNA of Peromyscus californicus insignis, 107 nucleotides long. RefSeq annotates it as small nucleolar RNA U13. The record is from RefSeq and is a predicted model, not a curated record. The transcript has a single exon. NCBI's taxonomy places the organism in Eukaryota, Metazoa, Chordata, Mammalia, Rodentia, Cricetidae.